UCCUUCUCUACACCUCCUGCCUCUGCUCUUCCUGUUCUCUCCUCCUCCCCUUCUCUUCCCUUCCUUCCAUCCAUCUGCUGUCCAGUCAGGAGAUCCCUGAGGGAGCCACAUCUCUGCCAGGCUAUCGUAUAUAAGGUUUUAGAGAUUUGGGCAUCCCUUGCUCUGUGCGAACAAGUUCUGCCUAUGGUCUCUUUUAUCCUGUCUUCCAUGGACUGAAUCUCUUCUCCUGGGCCGAGUCUUUCCCUCCAGGCUGAGCCCAUGUGAGCCAUGUGUUGAACCACAAGAGCUAUGGGGGCCGUGCUGAGAUGACCUCACCCUUCACUGGCCUGGGGAUAGCUGACCCUGCCCUGGGAUAACUGAACCUAUGACUCUGGCACUGGAGAGCUGGCCCUGCCCUUCAUAGGAGAGCACCCCCAACUUAGGAAAGCUGGCCCCAACCUCCGUGGGUGUAGGAGAGCUGGCUUUAACCCUUGCCUGAGGGGGCUGGUCCCAGCAGACCAGACUGACCAACUCAGCUACCAUCCAGACCCACAUCCAAGGCUUUGAGUUGGUACUCUCCAGCAUCUACCCCAUUGGUGACCUGCUGGAGCACAUGAAGAAACAGGAAUGUGGAACCGCAGCCACAGGAUCCCCAUGACUGGGGCAACAGCAGGAUACCUGAGAGGAGUUAUGGUAAGGGUCCAGUAUCAAUGGUGUAACAGAAGCCGGAGGUCUGGAACCUGACCAACAACACAUUACACAAUGAACCUGUGCAAGUAAAGCUGUUUGGACAAAAGGGUCUACUGGAUGGUACACAGCAGCAUCCAAUGUCACUAAGAUGAAUGGAGAGGUGGAAUGGAGGGAGGAGUGAAGUGAUUUUGUUUGGUUGUUUAAAAAUUAAUAUUCUUAUUUAUAUUAAAAAAUUUUAUUAUUUCUUUUUAAGUUUUCCUUUGUGGGGGCCAUAAAAGGGUGAAGGGCAGAG
This is a long non-coding RNA of Microtus oregoni (creeping vole), 961 nucleotides long. RefSeq lists it as uncharacterized. The transcript has 3 exons. Lineage: Eukaryota; Metazoa; Chordata; Mammalia; Rodentia; Cricetidae. The record is from RefSeq and is a predicted model, not a curated record.